UAUCCGGAACACGCCUAGAUGGCGCUGGUA
This 30-nucleotide small RNA is filed under the name Bombyx mori (domestic silkworm). RNAcentral describes it as "ovarian small RNA-23601". Lineage: Eukaryota; Metazoa; Arthropoda; Insecta; Lepidoptera; Bombycidae. The record is from RNAcentral.